UGUGUCGGAUGAUCCUCCUCAUGCACUCCACCACGGGUCCUGGCCGGUCCUGAAGUCGGUCUCCACCCACGGGACGAAGAGGACCUUGCCGUCGUCGACGUCGGCGUGAACCAGGGCCAGCGACUGUUAAUACAAGAGCAAUAUAUCAAUGCGAAACAGAUCAGCUGGAGCUCAACAAUCAGCUCCACUAUCAUAAGGAAGCUAGAUCAUCCAUGAAAUGGGUGCGUUUGUUUUUACCAGAGGCGCCGGUCCGCGGACCACCUUGCCCUGGUUGUUGUACUGGGAUCCAUGGCAGGGGCAGAUGAACUUGUUCUCGGCGCCGUUCCACGGCACGACGCAGCCGAGGUGGGUGCACACGGCGUUGAUCCCGUAGGUGGCCAGCGUCUUGUCCUGCUCCACCACCAGGUACGUGGGGUCACCCUGCACGCGCGGCGGCGGCGGCGCACGCAAACACGCCGGCCGUGAGCAUCAUCAACGCAACAGACACGCCUGCAGCGGCAGGUGACGACGACGAUGGCGGGUGAGUACGUGACUGAACCUUGAGCCCCUGCGCGAGCGUGCGGUCGUUGGGACCGUGCGUGUUGAGCCACUCCUCCACCGUGAUGUCGUUGCCCAGCUUGUCCUUGGCGUAGGUCCCGCCGCCGCCGUUCCCGGAGCUGCGUGCAAAAUCGGCCGGCCGGCCGGGGUGCUAUUCGUUAAUAGUUGCUGCGCGGCCGGUAACACGUACACGUGUAUACAGUGCGCCGCUAGCUAGCUGUUGAUGCAAAGCAACGCGGUCGAGACGACGACGACGACGACGACUCACCCGGCGGGGACGAAGAAGGCGCCGUAGGGGACGACCAUGCCGACGGUGGGCAGCGAUAUGGCGCCCAGGAGGAGGAGGUUCAUCAGCUUCCGCUUCUCCAUGUCGGGGACGCGGUCGGCGGGGAUGCUGCUCGCCGCCUGGCACGU
Molecule: long non-coding RNA, 951 nt
Filed under: Zea mays
Lineage: Eukaryota; Viridiplantae; Streptophyta; Magnoliopsida; Poales; Poaceae
Description: long non-coding RNA (ZMAY_LNC002793)
Source: RNAcentral